RNAcentral lists this ribosomal RNA (253 nucleotides) under uncultured bacterium. RNAcentral's name for it is "partial 16S ribosomal RNA". It matches the Rfam family "Bacterial small subunit ribosomal RNA", at positions 524 to 776 of the family's 1533-position model. The record is from RNAcentral.
UACGGAGGGGGCUAGCGUUGUUCGGAAUUCCUGGGCGUAAAGCGCACGUAGGCGGCUUUGUAAGUCAGAUGUGAAAGCCCCGGGCUCAACCUGGGAAUUGCAUUUGAGACUGCGUAGCUAGGGUGCGGAAGAGGGAAGCGGAAUUUCCGGUGUAGCGGUGAAAUGCGUAGAUAUCGGAAGGAACACCAGUGGCGAAAGCGGCUUCCUGGUCCAGCACCGACGUUCAGGCACGAAAGCGUGGGGAGCAAACAGG